RNAcentral lists this ribosomal RNA (254 nucleotides) under uncultured bacterium. RNAcentral's name for it is "partial 16S ribosomal RNA". It matches the Rfam family "Bacterial small subunit ribosomal RNA", at positions 524 to 776 of the family's 1533-position model. The record is from RNAcentral.
CACGUAGGGGCCAAGCGUUGUCCGGAUUUAUUGGGCGUAAAGAGCUCGUAGGCGGUUCGACAAGUCGGGUGUGAAAACUCCGGGCUCAACCCGGAGACGCCACCCGAUACUGUCGUGACUGGAGUCCGGUAGGGGAGUGGGGAAUUCCUGGUGUAGCGGUGAAAUGCGCAGAUAUCAGGAGGAACACCGGUGGCGAAGGCGCCACUCUGGGCCGGUACUGACGCUGAGGAGCGAAAGCGUGGGUAGCAAACCGG